Molecule: ribosomal RNA, 253 nt
Filed under: uncultured bacterium
Lineage: Bacteria
Description: partial 16S ribosomal RNA
Rfam family: Bacterial small subunit ribosomal RNA
Source: RNAcentral
UACAGAGGGGGCAAGCGUUGUUCGGAAUUACUGGGCGUAAAGGGCGCGUAGGCGGCCCGCUAAGUCGAACGUGAAAUCCCCGAGCUCAACUCGGGAACUGCGUCCGAUACUGGCGGGCUUGGAUCCGGGAGAGGGAUGCGGAAUUCCAGGUGUAGCGGUGAAAUGCGUAGAUAUCAGAAGGAACAUCAGUGGCGAAGGCGGCUUCCUGGACCAAUACUGACGAUCAGGUGCGAAAGCGUGGGGAGCAAACAGG